AGGCAAGUGAGACACUGGAUCUGAGGGAGCACGAUGGCAGUGUUUCUGGAGGCCAAGAACGCCCAUUCGGUCCUGAAGCGGUUCCCCCGUGCUAACGAGUUCCUGGAGGAGCUGCGCCAGGGCACCAUCGAGCGGGAGUGCAUGGAGGAGAUCUGCAGCUACGAGGAGGUCAAGGAGGUGUUUGAGGACAAGGAGAAAACGAUGGAGUUCUGGAAGGGGUACCCAAACGCCGUCUACUCCGUCCGAGACCCUGCGCAGAGCUCAGACGCCAUGUACGUGGUGGUGCCCCUUCUGGGCGUGGCCUUGCUGAUUGUCAUCGCCUUGUUCAUCAUUUGGAGGUGCCAGCUGCAGAAAGCCACCCGUCACCACCCGUCGUACGCUCAGAACCGGUACCUAGCGAGUCGCGCGGGGCACAGCCUCCCCCGGGUCAUGGUCUACCGGGGCACUGUGCACAGCCAGGGCGAGUCCUCCGGGCACCGGGAGGCAGGGAGCCACCCGCAGGUGGUGCUGGGGCCCAGUCGCGGAGGUAGGACCACGGUCCGCCUCGAGAGCACCCUCUACCUCCCCGAGCUCUCCCUCUCCAGACUGUCCAGCGCCACCCCGCCCCCGUCCUACGAGGAGGUGACUGCUCCCCAGGAGAGCAGCAGCGAGGAGGCGAGCGUCUCUUACAGUGACCCGCCCCCCAAGUACGAAGAGAUAGUGGCCGCCAACCCCGGUUCCGACAAGUAGUGGGACUCGGGUCCCAUCCAGCGGGAAAGCCUCGUUCAGGGGUCUCCUCUUUUCUUUUUAACUUUUUAAAGACUGUGCCACCACAAAACAGCCUUAGCCUCCUCGUUGCCAAAUAAUUUCCCACCCGUGGAUUUGCGGGAAGUCGGUUGUCAGAGACAGGUGGCGGGGGGUAGGGAUCACGCAUGCGCCGCGACCGCGGGCUGGGGGUGGGGGGAGCGAGGAGCCGCGAGCCAGAGAGCCCAUAGCUCUUCCAGAAGCCCCCAGGCCCCUGCCCUCCUGUCCUCCUGUCAGGGCCUGGCUUCUCUUAUGCCAAAGGAAUCCCCCUGUUGAGUUGAUCGUGGCUGGCGACCCGUUUGUCUGAAGCCUCGCCACAGAGACGAGGGAGAGAAGCCAGCCCUUCAGCGCCCUUUUCCCUGACUAGCCCUGCUGGGCUCUAGGGCCUGGCUCACUUGUGACAAGGACAAGGACCGAACAGAACCGGAAAGAGUAACAACCUGACUGAACACAAUACAACACAACGCUGUCCCCUGGGCCGCGCAUAGGGGUUCAAGAGAAAUCAGUGGCACGGAUCUGUGGCACUCCCCUCCCCCAACGCCCACCCCACGCUCCUGACCAGGUUCCGAGGAAUGUCUAGAGCCACCCGGAAGGGGCACGGGGUGUGUGAAGGAUGAGGGGCAGCGCCUGGCUGGCAGAGCUGCCUCCUGCAGGUUGUGGACCUUGGCGUCCCCCAGCCCUUGGCUCGCCGGGCACCGGUACCAGCCGAGCCAGAGCCGCCACCCGCUGGCUCAAGCCCAGGCUUAGGCCGGGGAGGACAGACUGUGGCACCCAGGGUCUUUGAAUGGUUGAGGGCAGGCUGGGGGAGAGAGCUGAAGCGUCCUCCUCCUGAGGGUGGCCCAUAGGAUGAGUAAAGCCAUGCACUUGGCCUUCUCCGAGCUGUGCUCUCUGGCUCCUGGACCUUGGAGGCUAUUCGCCUUUUUGUGAAUAGGUGUGUUGAGAUGAACCUGGUGCCCGCCUGGGGAGAUCGUCAAGGGUCCCUUUGGAGGAGUUUCUUGGUGGGGGGGAUGCGGCAGCCCAUGACCUGGGGUUGAGGGCCCAUCUGGGAUUUGCUCCGUCAUUGCCAGGUGCUGGUCCUUUUUUAGUCCCCCCCUUCUGUGGCCCCGGGAGCUGUCCGCCUCUCCAUUUCGGGGAGGCUUCGGACAGCAGUGGGGCGGAGGUGAGCACACAAAAGACACUGUCGACACUGCCUCCCCACCCCGCCGUCUUCAUCCUCCUGGCCUCAGCACCAAACCAUGUUUCCUCUGUGGUGCUUUACAAAAUGUAGCAAAUUUUUGUGGGGCCCCAAAAGAGUGCACAGCCAGGGUCUAUUGGCAACCACAGCGGUUUAAAACCCACAGAGAAGACAAGCUUCUCUCUGUCUAAACAGCUUUCCAAGGCAAGCCUCGGGCCUCGUUCUUUGACUUCCGGAGGCCCUUCCCGCCCUGGGCCCUCGGCCAGGAACGCACUUCUAGAAAUCUGUAGGUUACACGGGAGUCGGUCUCCUGCCGGUUGAACCUUUCUGCCCCUCCCCCUCGCCCUCCUCCGGAGCUCCCUGAUGCCAGAGGUGCUGACCAGGUGGCAUUCCACCUCUCCCCCUUCCUCUUCCUGCCCGCGGGCCUCUAGCAUGUCCUCGGCCCGUGCCUGUCUGGGACCUGGGAGGAUGCCCAGGAACGCCUGCUCCCUUUGGCCCCUUUGCAGCUGGCCGGAGGUGGGAGCUCUCCGGGUCAGGUGCUUCGCAGCGUUCUUCCACGUGGGGUUGCCACCGUGGGCUCUGGGACGUCUUUUGCAGCAUCUCGUAGAAAACAGACUGUACAGUUCACAAUGGUCAGAACUCCUCGUGGUGCACAUUUGGCUUUUAUGAAUGCCCUGUACAUAUCUUUUGCAACUCUGUCUUUGUACCGACGUUGAUUUGAUACAAUGCUACACCUGCAGUGGCCACAUUUUUGUUGGUUUUGGACUGUGUGUGUGUGUGUGUGUGUGUUUGUGUGUCCGUAUACACGUGUGCACGUUGCCUUUUCUCACACGCUUAUCUGAAACAAUAGCCGGUGUGUGGCUAUAUUUGUACCAGGAGGGUUCCGGUCUGAAGGGAGGAGUGAAGAAAGCCGAGCUUAGCUGUUGGAGCCCGCCAAAGUUGCUUCCUUCCACCCCCUUCCCGAAAGAUUUGGGAAGAAGACGGAGCCACUCCAUGCUGUGGGACCCCCACUGUAACGCCCUGUUGGCGCCGUGCCCCCAGCCUCCACGCCUGCUCUCUGAGCAUCAGCAGCUGAAGGCAAUCUGAGCACUCCUCAGCCUUUUUAUUUUUUUUUUUUUACUUUUAUUUUUCGGUGGAAAGGUGGGUGACUGUUGACUGUGGGAAUGGAAGGGCUAGUUAUUUAGGUAUUUUUCAUUUAAACAAAAAA
This 3164-nucleotide long non-coding RNA is filed under the name Sus scrofa (pig). RNAcentral describes it as "lncRNA (ENSSSCG00015003509.1)". The record is from RNAcentral. Lineage: Eukaryota; Metazoa; Chordata; Mammalia; Artiodactyla; Suidae.